This is a non-coding RNA of Chiloscyllium plagiosum (whitespotted bambooshark), 483 nucleotides long. The record is from RefSeq and is a predicted model, not a curated record. Lineage: Eukaryota; Metazoa; Chordata; Chondrichthyes; Orectolobiformes; Hemiscylliidae.
UGGGCCGGCGGCGAGAGUCGUACUUGACGUCGAUCGGACGAGGAGCAGCAGCGUGGGGUGGGGGUGGGGGCUUCGGCCUAGUUUUUUUAGGGAGGGGUGCGGUGCACUGCAGGCCUCAGUGGGAAGGCCGGGGCCUGGGUGGGAAAUCGAGGCCGAGCUGGACAGACGAGGCUGAGGUGGAAGACGAGGCCGAGGUGGAAGACGAGGCCGAGGUGGGCAGACGAGGCUGAGGUGGGAAAUCGAGGCCUAGGUGGACAGACGAGGCCUAGGUGGACAGACGAGGCCUAGGUGGACAGACGAGGCUGAGAUGGGAAAUCGAGGCCUAGGUGGACAGACGAGGCCGAGGUGGGAAAUGGAGGCCUAGGUGGACAGACGAGGCCGAGGUGGGAAAUCGAGGCCGAGGUGGGAAAUCGAGGCCGAGGUGGGCAGACGAGGCCGAGGUGGGAAAUGGAGGCCUAGGUGGACAGACGAGGCCGAGGUGGG